Molecule: ribosomal RNA, 489 nt
Filed under: uncultured bacterium
Lineage: Bacteria
Description: SSU rRNA
Rfam family: Bacterial small subunit ribosomal RNA
Source: RNAcentral
AGGACGAACGCUGGCGGCGUGCUUCACACAUGCAAGUCGAACGGGGCUCAUUCGGUGGUAACACCGGAGAAGGCCUAGUGGCGAACGGGUGCGUAACACGUGAAGAACCUGCCCCGAAGACUGGGAUAACAGCGGGAAACCGCUGCUAAUACCGGAUGACCCCACCAGGCCGCAUGGCCAGGUGAGGAAAUGGGCCUACCGCUUCGGGAGGGCUUCGCGGCCUAUCAGCUUGUUGGUGGGGUAACGGCCUACCAAGGCUACGACGGGUAGCUGGUCUGAGAGGACGACCAGCCACACUGGGACUGAGACACGGCCCAGACUCCUACGGGAGGCAGCAGUGGGGAAUCUUGCGCAAUGGGCGAAAGCCUGACGCAGCAACGCCGCGUGAGGGAUGAAGGUCUUCGGGUUGUAAACCUCUUUCGAGCAGGGACGAUUGUGACGGUACCUGCUAGAAGAAGCUCCGGCCAACUACGCGCCAGCAGCCGCGGU